Molecule: non-coding RNA, 94 nt
Organism: Chryseobacterium sp.
Lineage: Bacteria; Pseudomonadati; Bacteroidota; Flavobacteriia; Flavobacteriales; Weeksellaceae
Source: Rfam
CCCUAGCCCGGAUUGAAGCGGCAUCCUUUUUGGGGGCGGCCGAAGCGAAGCGCAGGACGUAACCAAAAAGAUAGAGCGGAAAGCCGGAUGAAGC